UACGUAGGCAGCAAGCGUUGUUCGGAGUUACUGGGCGUAAAGGGUGUGUAGGCGGUUAUUUAAGUUUGGUGUGAAAUCUCCCGGCUCAACCGGGAGGGUGCGCCGAAUACUGAAUGACUUGGAGUGCGGGAGAGGAAAGUGGAAUUCCUGGUGUAGCGGUGAAAUGCGCAGAUAUCAGGAGGAACACCCGUAGCGAAGGCGGCACUCUGGGCCGAUACUGACACUGAGGAGCGAAAGCGUGGGGAGCGAACAGG
This 254-nucleotide ribosomal RNA is filed under the name uncultured bacterium. Its description in RNAcentral is "partial 16S ribosomal RNA". It matches the Rfam family "Bacterial small subunit ribosomal RNA", at positions 524 to 776 of the family's 1533-position model. The record is from RNAcentral.